AUGAAAGGUGCCAUACCCCAACAUCUCAUCUGUCACAGACAAAUAUGCUAUAUUGCUGCCGCAUCAUUCAUGUCAUGCCCAUGAUCUAUUUUUCGUCCUUUCCAUCGAAUAUAUCGAAAAUUAUUAGGCAAUUUAUCGACCGCCAUGUAUCAGCAUCUGGAGUCAACAACUAUUAAGAUGAUAAAGACAACCCAUUAAAGAGGAUCUGACGAAGUUAAGUUUCCUCACACUUUGAGCUAUCACACAUUCUACAUACUGGUUGACCUACGACAGGUACGAGUUGAGGUUAAAGAGUAACCGAUGGUGCACAUAUGACAGGCAUAUUCUCCGACAAGAUAGUUUGGUCCUAGGUGGUCAGAAGCCGGCCUGUCGGGAGCUCGUCGCCCCACCUCUCAUAAAAAGUCUUGAAUACUUCGGAGCAACUAGUCCAAGCUUCGUAGAUCCGAGUUUAAUCACCUUUACAAUCAAACAGCUUUGGUUUCUUGACAAGAUGAAAACGAGAGAUAAAAAGAAAAAACGAAAAUAUUACCAAAUUUCAGAUAUUUUCUUCUCACAU
This is a non-coding RNA of Momordica charantia (bitter melon), 556 nucleotides long. Lineage: Eukaryota; Viridiplantae; Streptophyta; Magnoliopsida; Cucurbitales; Cucurbitaceae. The record is from RefSeq and is a predicted model, not a curated record.